This 253-nucleotide ribosomal RNA is filed under the name uncultured bacterium. RNAcentral describes it as "partial 16S ribosomal RNA". It matches the Rfam family "Bacterial small subunit ribosomal RNA", at positions 524 to 776 of the family's 1533-position model. The record is from RNAcentral.
UACGAAGGGGGCUAGCGUUGUUCGGAAUUACUGGGCGUAAAGAGCGCGUAGGCGGUUUGCCAAGUUGGGAGUGAAAGCCCGAAGCUUAACUUCGGAAUUGCUUUCAAAACUAGCGAACUAGAGAUCGGUAGGGGAUGGUGGAAUUCCUAGUGUAGAGGUGAAAUUCUUAGAUAUUAGGAGGAACACCUGUGGCGAAGGCGGCCAUCUGGGCCGAUACUGACGCUGAGGCGCGAAAGCGUGGGGAGCAAACAGG